RNA transcript from Gordionus sp. m RMFG-2023, 898 nucleotides. RefSeq lists it as uncharacterized. The record is from RefSeq and is a predicted model, not a curated record. NCBI's taxonomy places the organism in Eukaryota, Metazoa, Nematomorpha, Gordioida, Chordodea, Parachordodidae. The transcript has 12 exons.
UAUUAUGAGAAAUUUAGCAUUCAAGCCUAAUAAUGGAAAGAUAUACGUUAAAGCGAUGAGCCUCUAUUUCAUUUUAUUGGCAUGCCAUGGACAAAUGGAGUGGAGAAUGAUGCUCCAUGGACAAAAAAAAUGCCCAUGCCUUUUGAAUACGUCUCAAAUAGCAUACUCAUACGUGAAAAUCGAUUAUCGCUUAACAAAAAUAGAACGGGUAAAUUAUCGCAAAGAGACUCCAUCUCUUGCACGUUUCAAUUUAGUUACACCUCUUCAGGCGGCCAAAAAAUAUAGAAUGAAGUUAUUGACAAGGACAUCUGAUAACCAAAUAAUGGAAAUAGGAAAAUCUGUAGAAUUCAAGAAUUCAUCAUUCAAACACGAUUUCAAUCAAACAGGUACUUACAAGCUGAGUUUCCAGUUUAAAAUUUGCAGAACCUGGUCUAUCGAAACUAUUAAACAUGUCAAAAUAGAUGAUAAACUUCUCAAUAAUUACUAUGGUUCUGAUUUUGUUAUAUUCGUCAAUCGAUAGACUUACGAAGAUAAUCCAAGCCUACACGUAAUGGUAUUUCCGAAAAAAUUUAAGAAGGCUCUCAAACGUGGAGAAAUUUCAAAGAAUAAUAGCAGAAUGUCUAUAUUUGUGAUAGCUCAUCAUCGUAGACCUGAUAAACAGACAGCGCAAAAGGAGAUAACUUAUACAAUUGAUUAUAAAACGUCUGAAAUGAACGAUUCUUACUUUAGAUUUGUUUAUGACAAGGAUGCCAGAAGGAAAAAUUUUUUGUGGCUUGCUACAAAUGUAGGAAUUGAUGAUGAAUUAGAAUGGGAAGAAGAAAUGGUUCCAGCAGAAUGUGUUAGAUAACCCUAUAAAUUUUAGACAAUACCCACUUUGAGAAGAUUGUCGCAUAUUGCC